GACGAACGCUGGCGGCGUGCCUAACACAUGCAAGUCGAACGGGGUAAUGACUUCGGUUAUUACAUAGUGGCGAACGGGUGAGUAACGCGUGAGAAACCUGCCUUUCAGUGGGGGACAACAGUUGGAAACGACUGCUAAUACCGCAUAAUGUAUCGAUGGGGCAUCCUGUUGAUACCAAAGCUUUAUGUGCUGAAAGAUGGUCUCGCGUCUGAUUAGCUAGUUGGUGAGGUAACGGCUCACCAAGGCGACGAUCAGUAGCCGGCCUGAGAGGGUGAACGGCCACAUUGGGACUGAGACACGGCCCAAACUCCUACGGGAGGCAGCAGUGGGGAAUAUUGCACAAUGGGGGAAACCCUGAUGCAGCGACGCCGCGUGAGUGAAGAAGUAUUUCGGUAUGUAAAGCUCUAUCAGCAAGGAAGAAAAUGACGGUACCUCAUGAAUAAGCCACGGCUAACUACGUG
RNAcentral lists this ribosomal RNA (461 nucleotides) under uncultured bacterium. Its description in RNAcentral is "bacterial SSU rRNA". It matches the Rfam family "Bacterial small subunit ribosomal RNA", at positions 28 to 507 of the family's 1533-position model. The record is from RNAcentral.